GGCCCGUUGGUCAAGUGGUUAAGACACGGCCCUUUCACGGCUGUAACAUGGGUUCGAAUCCCGUACGGGUCA
Molecule: non-coding RNA, 72 nt
Organism: Oscillibacter sp. KLE 1745
Lineage: Bacteria; Bacillati; Bacillota; Clostridia; Eubacteriales; Oscillospiraceae
Source: Rfam